Molecule: non-coding RNA, 1484 nt
Organism: Malus domestica (apple)
Lineage: Eukaryota; Viridiplantae; Streptophyta; Magnoliopsida; Rosales; Rosaceae
Source: RefSeq, a predicted model, not a curated record
AUCAAGCAAUAAGUCAUUCAGGUUCGUGUUGUACUUCUCAUUCGUUUCUCUUAAUUUAGGGCCUCAGAUGAAUAUGAGCAGAUAUUAUAGAUGACAAAAGUAAACUAACCAAAUAAAAAUUAGAGUGAACGAACAUAAAAGUUAUAUUCUACAUUAAUCAGAAUAUCAUGCUUGAUUAUAUAUAUGUUUUUUGGAUGGUGACUGAAAUAUGACCACAAAUGAGUGUGUGGAAUCAGUAACUAGCUUCAAUUAGUCUGCUUUUUUGGGAUUAUUUUUCUUUUCGAUUGUGGAUUUUUUAUCGUUAUUGUUCAAUUUAUUGGAAGUCAGAAAAACUCAUGUCUUGCUUUUGCAAGAUAUAAUGAGUUUGAUUAGUAGUGAUUAACUUUGAUUUUGAUGCUAUCAGUAUGUUGGUUCUUUUAUGAUUGCAUGUAUUUCCCCUUAUGGUCUUUCAUUCAUGUUUUAUGGUUCUCCAUCAUGUGUUUUUGUAUCAACUUUAGAGUGUAGACUCUAAACACGAUAGCACCUCAAUCCAGUAAGAUUGGGUAUUAAAUAUAAUUGUGAGAAGACAUUUAUUGGAUGAGUUCUUUGAAGUUAUAAAUCUAUAGCCUUCAAUUCUGAAAUAAGUGGAAAAUGAAUUUAAGGAUAGCAGUAGAUUAUUUAGUACAUUUGAUACAUAUUAAUUAUAUGCAUUCAGAAUCCAAGAUAACUGAAGAAGUGGAACCAUACUAUGGUCGCAUCUUUCUAACUUACGUCAUUUUUAUGUAGCUUCUUCCUUGAUUGGUUUAGUAGUUUUGUUUGUUUAUUUGGGAGUUCGUGUUUGGUUGCUGAAGAUUUGAUGGAUUUUUGCGUUCGUUUUUGGUUUGGUGGCAAUCAUUGUUGAAUGGAUAUGGGGAACACAUAGAUGGUGACUAUGAUUCCCUCACAGCACUGAUAUUGUGGAAGCUGGUGUAAGUUAGUAUGGAAUGUUGUUUUGUUGUGUCGAAUUUGUUCGUAUGGGUAUGAAGUUUCCUGUUUGAUUAUAUUUUAGAUUAGCCGAAUGACAACUGAGACCGGGCAAAUUGGCUCGUCGAAAAGCGGGGGAACGGUUUUUGUGAAUGAGAACAAUAGCCAAAUUGGUAAUAUGACAUCACUAAUAAUGCCAGCAGCUACCUUGGGAGCAGUGGGUUAUGGUUACAUGAGGUGGAAGGUGUGCAGAUUAUGUUCUUUGUAAGUAAUUUAUAGUUCAGUUCAAAGAAAAAGCUACUUACACUCAAUAGGAAAUUGAUGCAUUAAGAAUAGAGUGGGCUGAGUAUGUUGAUGACUUCAUCCUAAUAGAUAAAACACUAGACUAGCUAGCUUGUGAAAUUUUAAAUUAAGUGGUUUUAUUUUAGUAGGAAAUCUCUACACAUUUUAUUAAAUGUGUUGAUUGUGAGAUUGUUUUUUUGUAAUACUUGGAUUUACAAAUUUAUGAAGCAAUACUAGUUUAUUUAAGGUAAAUAUCUUGC